Molecule: ribosomal RNA, 468 nt
Filed under: uncultured bacterium
Lineage: Bacteria
Description: partial 16S ribosomal RNA
Rfam family: Bacterial small subunit ribosomal RNA
Source: RNAcentral
GACGAACGCUGGCGGCGUGCUUAACACAUGCAAGUCGAACGGAAAGGCCCUGCUUUUGUGGGGUGCUCGAGUGGCGAACGGGUGAGUAACACGUGAGUAACCUGCCCUUGACUUUGGGAUAACUUCAGGAAACUGGGGCUAAUACCGGAUAGGAGCUCCUGCUGCAUGGUGGGGGUUGGAAAGUUUCGGCGGUUGGGGAUGGACUCGCGGCUUAUCAGCUUGUUGGUGGGGUAGUGGCUUACCAAGGCUUUGACGGGUAGCCGGCCUGAGAGGGUGACCGGCCACAUUGGGCCUGAGAUAGGGCCCAGAGUCCUACGGGAGACAGCAGUGGGGAAUAUUGCACAAUGGGCGGAAGCCUGAGGCAGAAACGCCGGGUGCGGAAUGACGGCCUUCGGGUUGAAAACCGCUUUCGCCUGUGACGAAGCGGGAGUGACGGUAACGGGUAAAGAAGCACCGGCUAACUACGUG